This is a long non-coding RNA of Platichthys flesus (European flounder), 572 nucleotides long. RefSeq lists it as uncharacterized. The transcript has 3 exons. The record is from RefSeq and is a predicted model, not a curated record. Lineage: Eukaryota; Metazoa; Chordata; Actinopteri; Pleuronectiformes; Pleuronectidae.
CCGCUUUCACUCGCACGAUGUAGCUGUCACUGGAUAAAGAGAGAGAGGGUUUGUUAGAGAGAUGACUCCAAUGGGGUUUAAACGAGCUGGGACUGAAACACUUCACCAUUUCCCAGUUGGAUCCAGUUUGAAUCAGGUGUCUGCUGUUUGAACUCGUCAUCUACUGAAGUAGAGAAGAUGAGUCAUGGGUGCCCCCCUCGGCUUCCCCUGAGGUGACCUGUGGAGAGCAGGGUGUUGGAUCACAAAGCUGUAUCUGCAUCAUCAUGGGGGCAGCGGAAACAAGCUAUUAUCAUAACACUGAUGCAUAACAACCUUGUUGAGGCCAAUGUGUCAGCAAACUUAUCUUGUUACACAUCCGGCCGCCACAAGAGAAGACUUGGCUUUCGUUUUGUCUCCUGCUCGCUCUGCUUUGGUCUCCACCGCCUGCCGAGCUCUUCUGAUAAAAGUGAUUAUUAACUAUGGCUUCAUCUUUUGUUUUAUGAAACAAACAUAACAUGAUAAUAGCUGGUUUAACAAAAAUUAGGCAGAAUAUAGGAGAAAGGAUGUUUAAGUUUUCUCAGGUUUUUCUUUAU